UAGGGAAUCUUCCGCAAUGGACGCAAGUCUGACGGAGCAACGCCGCGUGAGUGAAGAAGGAUUUCGGUUCGUAAAACUCUGUUGUUAGAGAAGAACAGCGCAUAGAGGAACUGUUAUGCGUGUGACGGUAUCUAACCAGAAAGCCACGGCUAACUACGUGCCAGCAGCCGCGGUAAUACGUAGGGGGCUAGCGUUGUCCGGAAUCACUGGGCGUAAAGGGUUCGCAGGCGGAAAUGCAAGUCAGGUGUAAAAGGCAGUAGCUUAACUACUGUAAGCAUUUGAAACUGCAUAUCUUGAGAAGAGUAGAGGUAAGUGGAAUUUUUAGUGUAGCGGUGAAAUGCGUAGAUAUUAAAAAGAAUACCGGUGGCGAAGGCGACUUACUGGGCUCAUUCUGACGCUGAGGAACGAAAGCGUGGGUAGCAAACAGG
RNAcentral lists this ribosomal RNA (428 nucleotides) under Bacteroidota bacterium. RNAcentral describes it as "Bacteroidetes bacterium partial 16S ribosomal RNA". It matches the Rfam family "Bacterial small subunit ribosomal RNA", at positions 355 to 776 of the family's 1533-position model. Lineage: Bacteria; Pseudomonadati; Bacteroidota. The record is from RNAcentral.